This is a long non-coding RNA of Fukomys damarensis (Damara mole-rat), 954 nucleotides long. RefSeq lists it as uncharacterized. NCBI's taxonomy places the organism in Eukaryota, Metazoa, Chordata, Mammalia, Rodentia, Bathyergidae. The record is from RefSeq and is a predicted model, not a curated record. The transcript is spliced from 2 exons.
GUAUGCAACAGUUAAGAUGGCUGUCAGCUAAUGUUUUCUCUUUUCCUCUGUUUCCUAAGCAUCAGGCACUGAUACUGGGAUUAUAGGAUACACAUGCACUCAAGGCGUGAGACAAACACCGGUCGUGGGCCUCACACAGUUUAUUUAACAACAGAAAUUGUGUGGUGGAGUUGGGCAGAGUGAGGAGAAGAAAGCAAGCAGAGACCUCAGGAAACCACUUUUCAGGUGAAACAUCUCACCAAAUUCAUUUCUCACCCUCUUUUUCAUGUUUUUCUUUCUGUCUUUCUUUCUUUUCUUGGUACCGAGGAUCGAACUCAGGACCUUGCACUUGCAGGGCAAGUGCGGUGUCACUGGGCUAAACCCCAGCCCCAUUUUGUCCUUUCUUACAUGUAAAAAUAACUAAAAUAUUUUUUUCAGGAAGUACCAGGGCAACUGAGCCACUGAGCAACUUAGCAAAACCCUGUCAAAACAAGAUAAUUAAAGGGCUAAGGAUUUAGCUCUAUGUGAAAGCCCUGUGUUCAAACCCCAGGCCCCACCCCAAAAGAUUGAUCAUUGUGCCCAGGGGAAAAAGCUGAUAUUUAAUAUGCUUAUAUGUGUAGAAUGUAAUGUUUUUUGGUGCCGGGGAUUGAACCCAGGACCUCACAAUUGCCAGGCUGGUACUAUGUCACUGAGUUACAUCCCCAGCUCUGUAGAAUGUAAUUGUAAAGUAACGUUAGACAUUUUUAUCUUAUGGUUUUAGGGGAAGAGAACUCUUCCAUAUUGUGAGGAAAAUAAGGAAGUGUAUCAAAACCUUCACCACAAAAUAACUAUUAAUAUUACAUAUCUGCAUUAAUUAAAAAAAAACUAGUAAUGUUUGGAGGUGCAAGGCAGGAGGGUGUGGGGCUUCAGACCUCAGCCUCCUCCAGGCACACGUGAACCACACACAGGGAAGAAGGGCUGGCGAAGCAGCCAAAG